AGCGAACGCUGGCGGCAGGCCUAACACAUGCAAGUCGAACGAACUCUUCGGAGUUAGUGGCGGACAGGUGAGUAACACGUGGGAACGUGCCUUUUGGUUCGGAAUAACUCAGGGAAACUUGUGCUAAUACCGAAUGUGCCCUUCGGGGGAAAGAUUUAUCGCCAUUAGAGCGGCCCGCGUCUGAUUAGCUAGUUGGUGAGGUAACGGCUCACCAAGGCGACGAUCAGUAGCUGGUCUGAGAGGAUGACCAGCCACACUGGGACUGAGACACGGCCCAGACUCCUACGGGAGGCAGCAGUGGGGAAUCUUGCGCAAUGGGCGAAAGCCUGACGCAGCCAUGCCGCGUGAAUGAUGAAGGUCUUAGGAUUGUAAAAUUCUUUCACCGGGGACGAUAAUGACGGUACCCGGAGAAGAAGCCCCGGCUAACUUCGUG
This 433-nucleotide ribosomal RNA is filed under the name uncultured bacterium. RNAcentral describes it as "partial 16S ribosomal RNA". It matches the Rfam family "Bacterial small subunit ribosomal RNA", at positions 29 to 507 of the family's 1533-position model. The record is from RNAcentral.